GGGAGGGUGGUCUAGCUUGGUAUGAUUCUUGGUUCGGAACCAAGAGGUCGAGGGUUCAAAUCCCCCCUCUCCCA
RNAcentral lists this transfer RNA (74 nucleotides) under Promethearchaeota archaeon. RNAcentral's name for it is "Candidatus Lokiarchaeota archaeon (microbial mat metagenome) tRNA-Pro". It matches the Rfam family "tRNA". Rfam says of the family: Transfer RNA (tRNA) molecules are approximately 80 nucleotides in length. Their secondary structure includes four short double-helical elements and three loops (D, anti-codon, and T loops). Lineage: Archaea; Promethearchaeati; Promethearchaeota. The record is from RNAcentral.